Molecule: transfer RNA, 63 nt
Filed under: Mopalia retifera
Lineage: Eukaryota; Metazoa; Mollusca; Polyplacophora; Chitonida; Mopaliidae
Description: tRNA-Glu
Source: RNAcentral
AGAUAAGUAGUGUAAAUCGCACAAUUAAUUUUCAUUUAAUUAGAAUAUAAAUAUAUCUAUCUG